AGCUGAUGGUGUCACUGCGACUCAACUGGUGGAGUCUCCAGAGGCUGGCUUUAGGAAAUAAGAGACAUCUCCUGUUUCUACAGCCAAUAGCGAAGUCAGCUGGUGGAGUCUCCAGAGGCUGGUUUUAGGACGUCAGAGACGUCUCCUGUUU
This is a long non-coding RNA of Etheostoma cragini (Arkansas darter), 151 nucleotides long. RefSeq lists it as uncharacterized. The record is from RefSeq and is a predicted model, not a curated record. The transcript is spliced from 2 exons. Lineage: Eukaryota; Metazoa; Chordata; Actinopteri; Perciformes; Percidae.